GCGGGUGCAGGAUAAGCCCCCCCCCUCUUGCUCCCAAAAAAAAAAAAAACAAAAAAAUCUGCAUACCCGGUUUUUCUUCCUUGGCUGUUUUUUGUCAAUGUGCAAAAAUUUCCCGGUCGGGGAGGGAUGAUGCCAAAAAAAUUAUAAAUUACAAAAAAGCCCCCAGUGGCCCCUUUUUUUUUCCAACACGGGAAAACAACCCGGCGCCGGGCCGUGGAUACAAAAUUAUAGCUUUUUCAUGAUUCGUGGUUGGGUGGGGCAUGCCGUUCUUAGUUCUGGACGAUUUUCUGUUUAUUCCGAUAACGAGCGAGAUAGGCCUACUAACUAGUGCGGGCUUGCUUCUGUGCUUAUAACUUCUUAGAGGGAUUUGCGGCCUAGCGGCACGAAACGGAGCAAUACCAGGUCUGUGAUGCCCUUAGAUGUCCGGGCUGCACGCGCGCUACACUGGCAAAGGCAGCGUGCUUUGUCCGCCUCCGAAAGGAGCCGUAAACCCUUGAAAAUUUGCGUGAUUG
Molecule: ribosomal RNA, 512 nt
Filed under: Ogma octangularis
Lineage: Eukaryota; Metazoa; Nematoda; Chromadorea; Rhabditida; Criconematidae
Description: partial 18S ribosomal RNA
Rfam family: Eukaryotic small subunit ribosomal RNA (bases 165-512)
Source: RNAcentral